Cotesia glomerata is the source of this 836-nucleotide long non-coding RNA. RefSeq lists it as uncharacterized. The record is from RefSeq and is a predicted model, not a curated record. NCBI's taxonomy places the organism in Eukaryota, Metazoa, Arthropoda, Insecta, Hymenoptera, Braconidae. The transcript is spliced from 5 exons.
UAUCUAUAUAUACGGACAUGUAUAACUGUCUGUAAAUUACAUAAAAAAAGCUCUCGGAUUUCACAAUACAUUAUUAUCCUGAGUCCUGAGGAUGUAGUAGAAUUCUUCGGAAGAUAAUGUGAGACAAAUAAAAGAAGCAGGCCAGUAAAUCAGAGGACGUACCAUUUACGGGUCUUUUUGGGAAUGUUGAACAAACAAUUGACGACUAAUAAAGCGACGGGAGGCCCACGUGGGAAGGGCAUGCAUCCCAAGAUAAUAUUCCAUUGGGUUUAAAUUUUUUAGGAGAAUAACUAUACCAACUAUACCAACGGAAUCGUAAACUCCAACAGACAUAAUGUCUAAUUGAACUGGCUAAUUACUGGCCAAAAACUCGAUUUUAUCUACACUAAGGAAGCGAUGAAUUACUAGACAGUUUUGAAUAACAAUUUACGAUCAAGAUGGAAGUUAAGAGGAGGGUUCAGUGAGUGGCUUGUUUGACGGAUAGCACGUAAUAUCAUGCCUGCGGCGAAUCCGUGGGCGCCCAACAACAGUGUGGAUGGGCAUUAUGAGUGCGAGAAAAUAUCACUGAGGGCAUCGAGUCAAUGGCAUUGGACUAUUAUCCGGUAUCUUUGUAUCAUAUAUGAUGCUAUGAUGCGUGUAUCAUAUUCGAUAAAAGCUUGAGGAUAGAAGAAGACUAUAGAGGCAAGACCAACAUUAAAAACAAUAAACUUUAAAUUAAUACGUUUGAUACAAAGCCUUAAAUGUAGAUUACACGCACGUAUUAAGUUUCACGAUGUUUGGGUGGAAUAAGCGAUCGGAAUUGAUAAAUAUUUUGCGCAAAUGACAUUGUAAGAGAA